GACGAACGCUGGCGGCGUGCUUAACACAUGCAAGUCGAACGGUAAGGCCCUUCGGGGUACACGAGUGGCGAACGGGUGAGUAACACGUGGGUGAUCUGCCCUGCACUUCGGGAUAAGCCUGGGAAACUGGGUCUAAUACCGGAUAGGACCACUGCCUGCAUGGGUGGUGGUGGAAAGCUUUUGCGGUGUGGGAUGGGCCCGCGGCCUAUCAGCUUGUUGGUGGGGUGAUGGCCUACCAAGGCGACGACGGGUAGCCGGCCUGAGAGGGUGACCGGCCACACUGGGACUGGGAUACGGCCCAGACUCCUACGGGAGGCAGCAGUGGGGAAUAUUGCACAAUGGGCGCAAGCCUGAUGCAGCGACGCCGCGUGAGGGAUGACGGCCUUCGGGUUGUAAACCUCUUUCAGCACCGACGAAGCGCAAGUGACGGUAGGUGCAGAAGAAGGACCGGCCAACUACGUGCCAGCAGCCGCCGUAA
RNAcentral lists this ribosomal RNA (478 nucleotides) under uncultured bacterium. RNAcentral describes it as "partial 16S ribosomal RNA". It matches the Rfam family "Bacterial small subunit ribosomal RNA", at positions 28 to 523 of the family's 1533-position model. The record is from RNAcentral.